GAUGAACGCUGGCGGCGUGCCUAAUACAUGCAAGUCGAGCGAACAGACGAGGAGCUUGCUCCUCUGACGUUAGCGGCGGACGGGUGAGUAACACGUGGAUAACCUACCUAUAAGACUGGGAUAACUUCGGGAAACCGGAGCUAAUACCGGAUAAUAUAUUGAACCGCAUGGUUCAAUAGUGAAAGACGGUUUUGCUGUCACUUAUAGAUGGAUCCGCGCCGCAUUAGCUAGUUGGUAAGGUAACGGCUUACCAAGGCAACGAUGCGUAGCCGACCUGAGAGGGUGAUCGGCCACACUGGAACUGAGACACGGUCCAGACUCCUACGGGAGGCAGCAGUAGGGAAUCUUCCGCAAUGGGCGAAAGCUUGACGGAGCAACGCCGCGUGAGUGAUGAAGGUCUUCGGAUCGUAAAACUCUGUUAUUAGGGAAGAACAAAAGUGUAAGUAACUAUGCACGUCUUGACGGUACCUAAUCAGAAAGCCACGGCUAACUACGU
This 496-nucleotide ribosomal RNA is filed under the name uncultured bacterium. RNAcentral's name for it is "partial 16S ribosomal RNA". It matches the Rfam family "Bacterial small subunit ribosomal RNA", at positions 28 to 506 of the family's 1533-position model. The record is from RNAcentral.